GAUGAACGCUGGCGGCGUGCCUAAUACAUGCAAGUCGAACGAGGUGCUUGAGUAGCAAUACGAGAGUAUCCUAGUGGCGAACGGGUGAGUAACGCGUUGGUGACCUACCCCAAAGUGUGGGAUAACAGUCCGAAAGGAUUGCUAAUACCGCAUGUGGUCUUCGGGUUUAGAAACCGAUGACGAAAGCAGCAAUGCGCUUUGGGAGGGACCUGCGUCCCAUCAGCAGUUGGUGAGGUAACGGCUCACCAAGGCGACGACGGGUAGGGGACCUGAGAGGGGUGACCCCCA
RNAcentral lists this ribosomal RNA (288 nucleotides) under uncultured bacterium. RNAcentral's name for it is "partial 16S ribosomal RNA". It matches the Rfam family "Bacterial small subunit ribosomal RNA", at positions 28 to 310 of the family's 1533-position model. The record is from RNAcentral.